Molecule: unclassified non-coding RNA, 329 nt
Filed under: soil metagenome
Description: partial contains 5.8S ribosomal RNA, internal transcribed spacer 2, and large subunit ribosomal RNA
Rfam family: 5.8S ribosomal RNA (bases 1-120)
Source: RNAcentral
GAUGAAGAACGUAGCGAAAUGCGAUAAGUAAUGUGAAUUGCAGAAUUCCGUGAAUCAUCGAAUCUUUGAACGCAUAUUGCGCCCUCUGGCAUUCCGGGGGGCAUGCCUGUCCGAGCGUCAUUACAACCCUCAAGCUCAGCUUGGUGUUGGGCCCCGCCGCCCCGGCGGGCCCUAAAGUCAGUGGCGGUGCCGUCCGGCUCCGAGCGUAGUAAUUCUUCUCGCUCUGGAGGUCCGGUCGUGUGCUCGCCAGCAACCCCCAAUUUUUUUCAGGUUGACCUCGGAUCAGGUAGGGAUACCCGCUGAACUUAAGCAUAUCAAUAAGCGGAGGA